CUGGUCUCCUUCACCACCAGCAGGUCAACUCCCUCUUUACCUCUGUAAUCUGGUCUCCAUCACCACCAGCAGGUAAACUCCCUCUUUACCUCUGUAGUCUGGUCUCCUUCACCACCAGCAGGUAAACUCCCUCUUUACCUCUGUAGUCUGGUCUCCUUCACCACCAGCAGGUAAACUCCCUCUGUAGUCUGGUCUCCUUCACCACCAGCAGGUAAACUCCCUCUGUAGUCUGGUCUCCUUCACCACCAGCAGGUCAACUCCCUCUUUACCUCUGUAGUCUGGUCUCC
This is a long non-coding RNA of Oncorhynchus tshawytscha (Chinook salmon), 287 nucleotides long. The record is from Ensembl. Lineage: Eukaryota; Metazoa; Chordata; Actinopteri; Salmoniformes; Salmonidae.